Molecule: long non-coding RNA, 639 nt
Organism: Malaya genurostris
Lineage: Eukaryota; Metazoa; Arthropoda; Insecta; Diptera; Culicidae
Exons: 4
Source: RefSeq, a predicted model, not a curated record
CAAACGCAAAAAAUCUUCGAAUAAACUAAACCGAGAAUAUGAGAAAAUCCCGAAACUCACGACUGGAUACGCUAUUUUGCGGCAACAAAAACUUGCCAUAGGCUCGGUGAUAUCGAAUGUUAUCAAAACCGACACAAAUUGACAAAACUAUACAAUCCCCUGAAUCUUCGAUCCCUCAGUGCACAAACGGAAUCAAUGCACAAUAUGGGUUAUCGAAGAUAAAAAAAAUCAUGAUGUGUACGCGAAAUCCCAUUUAUCUCCAAUUUCAGUCGUCUCUGAUCAGCAGGAUAUAUCAUCGUAAUCUUCAGAAUUAUUAAGCGAAGAGUUAUGCAAAGAUCAAACGUCAGAUGAUGCCACUUGUACAAACAAUUAUAAUUCGGUUGCUUUCAGUGAUGCUGAGAACAGUUUCGAGUUUGCGAAAUGAAUCUGGGGAAAAUAUUCGGAAGAUGAAUCUAACUGAACCUGCACCGGAAUGCCCAAACCGCGAAGAAGAAGAGCAUUGCUACAAAAAUGAUUUACUUCAUCCACACGGAUAUUCAUGGAUAUUUAACAGAAAGCAACCAGAUACGUUACAAAUAUAUGGAUGCAUAUAAUAGAAACCACCCAGAUACAGUCAGAGCGAUGGAUUUGUGCAUGAAA